RNAcentral lists this ribosomal RNA (375 nucleotides) under uncultured organism. RNAcentral describes it as "partial 16S ribosomal RNA". It matches the Rfam family "Bacterial small subunit ribosomal RNA", at positions 527 to 896 of the family's 1533-position model. The record is from RNAcentral.
GUAGGUGGCAAGCGUUGUCCGGAAUUAUUGGGCGUAAAGCGCGCGCAGGCGGUUCUUUAAGUCUGAUGUGAAACGCCCACGGCUCAACCGUGGAGGGUCAUUGGAAACUGGAGAACUUGAGUACAGAAGAGGAAAGCGGAAUUCCACGUGUAGCGGUGAAAUGCGUAGAGAUGUGGAGGAACACCAGUGGCGAAGGCGGCUUUCUGGUCUGUAACUGACGCUGAGGCGCGAAACGCGUGGGGAGCAAACAGGGAUUAGAUACCCUGGUAGUCCACGCCGUAAACGAUGAGUGCUAAGUGUUAGGGGGUUUCCGCCCCCUUAGUGCUGCAGCUAACGCAUUAAGCACUCCGCCUGGGGAGUACGGCCGCAAGGCUG